AACGCACCUUGCGCUCCUUGGUAUUCCGAGGAGCAUGCCUGUUUGAGUGUCAUUAAUAUAUCAACCUUCUCUUUUUGAGUGGUUUGGAUGUGGGGGUUUGCUGGCCUCUUAAAAGGUCUUGGCUCUCCUGAAAUACAUUAGCAGAACAACCCUGUUCAUUGGUGUGAUAACUAUCUACGCUAUUGAAUGUGAAGGGCAGUUUGGCUUUCUAACAGUCCUUGGACAAGCUCAUCAUUAAUGUGACCUCAAAUCAGGUAGGACUACCCGCUGAACUUAA
Molecule: unclassified non-coding RNA, 277 nt
Filed under: Ochrocladosporium sp.
Lineage: Eukaryota; Fungi; Ascomycota; Dothideomycetes; Pleosporales
Also listed under: 2 other names
Description: partial contains 5.8S ribosomal RNA, internal transcribed spacer 2, and large subunit ribosomal RNA
Rfam family: 5.8S ribosomal RNA (bases 1-52)
Source: RNAcentral